Molecule: ribosomal RNA, 1239 nt
Filed under: uncultured bacterium
Lineage: Bacteria
Description: bacterial SSU rRNA
Rfam family: Bacterial small subunit ribosomal RNA
Source: RNAcentral
ACGGGUGAGUAACACGCAGGUAUCUAUCUUGUAGACCGGGAUAGCGCCGAGAAAUCGGAGGUAAUACCGGAUGUGUCCUGAUAUUUAUCGGGAUAAAGGUGGCCUCUGCUUGCAAGCUGCCGCUAUGAGGUGAGCCUACGGCCUAUUAGCUAGUUGGUAGGGUAAAAGCCUACCAAGGCGAUGAUAGGUAGCCGGCCUUAACGGGUGGUCGGCCACACUGGGAUUGAGAUACGGCCCAGACUCCUACGGGAGGCAGCAGUCGAGAAUCGUCCGCAAUGGGGGAAACCCUGACAGUGCGACGCCGUGUGCAUGAAGAAGUCCUUCGGGAUGUAAAAUGCUUUUCUGUGAGAGCAAAACUUUGUAGGUGAAUAGCUUGCAGAGUCUGAUAGUAUCACAGGAAUAAGUCCCGGCUAAUUCCGUGCCAGCAGCCGCGGUAAGACGGAAGGGGCAAGCGUUGUCCGGAAUCACUAGGCGUAAAGGGCUAGUAGGCGGCUAGCUAAGUUAUAUGUUAAAUCCCACGGCUCAACUGUGGAAUCGCAUAUAAUACUGGCUGGCUUGAGUACUGCAGAGGAAGGCGGAAUUCCUGGAGUAGCGGUGAAAUGCGCAGAUAUCAGGAAGAACGCCAAAUGCGAAGGCAGCCUUCUGGGCAGUUACUGACGCUGAAUAGCGAAGGUGUGGGGAGCGAACAGGAUUAGAGACCCUGGUAGUCCACACAGUAAACGAUGAUCACUAGGUGUUGGUAUCAUCUAAAGGUAUCAGUACCGUAGCUAACGCGUUAAGUGAUCCGCCUGGGGAGUACGUCCGCAAGGAUGAAACUCAAAGGAAUUGACGGGGGCCCGCACAAGCGGUGGAGCACGUUGUUUAAUUCGAUGCAACGCGAAGAACCUUACCUGGACUUGACUUCCGUGAAAUCCCCAAGAGAUUGGGGAGUGCCCCGAGUUUUCGGGGAAUCACGAGACAGGUGCUGCAUGGCUGUCGUCAGCUCGUGUCGUGAGAUGUUGGGUUAAGUCCCGCAACGAGCGCAACCCCUACCCUUAGUUGCCAAUAUUCAGUUAGGGACUCUAAGGGGACUGCCAAGGUUACAACUUGGAGGAAGGUGGGGAUGACGUCAAGUCCUCAUGGUCCUUAUGUCCAGGGCUACAAACGUGCUACAAUGGUUGGUACAAUGGGAAGCAAGACCGCGAGGUGGAGCUAAUCCCUCAAAACCUACCUCAGUUCGGAUUGGGGUCUGCAACUCGA